AAAAAAAAAUAUAUAAGCAGAGUACUUUUGACUUUGACAGUAUUAGGACUGAAUGUGUGUUAUUCCCCAUGUCACAUCAGCAGUCUGGUAUGAACCAUAAAUUUUUUUUUUUUUUUUUUAGGACUCUUGGGCCCCUCAACAGAAACUGGGCCCUGGGCAGCUGCCCCUUAUGCCCCCCCCCCCAUGCAUAUGAAAAGACAGAUUAGACAAACAGGAGCCAGCCAGUUUAUACAUCUGAAACUUUGGGGCUUGCUUAGGAGUUUGAAAAUCAGUGCAGUAUUAUUAAAUAAAAUUUAAAUAAAAAAAAAAAGCAAAACUAUAAUUUUUUAAACAAAAACACUCCCAAGUGGGCUAUAUAAAUGGAUAUGACAUGCCCUGAUGAUCCCCUGUAACACAUACUGGAGGUGGGGGAGAAACGUGCGUUGGCACUAUGUGUUUAUGAGAACCCAGGUACCUGUCGAAUGUACCGUGGGCCAGGAUUUCUAGUGCACCUGUCCAGGCCUAUUCCCUGAAUCUUUUGUUUCUUCAGAGACAUUUUGGCUCUAUACAUGCAGCUGUACCUUUAAAGUGAGCUACGAAUCUUUCAGGUGUGACUCCGACAGUGGAGUAAGUGGUUUUGAGGAGUGUGCUAUUGGAGUGCAAUGGAAGAUGCGCCUAUACGAUAGCCACUCAUAGUCCCUGGUGACGAGAGACCACUCCCACUAUUGCUGAUGUCACACGCCAAGUAAUCAUCACAGGUGCUUGCAAGCAGAAGACAAGUGGAAACAACAAAAACCGGAGGACUUAAGCUAAGUAUAUGCCGUAUAUGCUGUGUUUUCCAACUGAAUUAUUACACUUGCUAGAGACUCUUUAUCCAGCAGUACUACUUGCGGCACAUUUAUUUGCCUUAAGAGAAGAUUCCCUGGUAUAUAUAAAGAGGAAAAACAAGCGCUUUUUGAUACAUAAUAUAGUUCACCUCUGUUUGGACUGCAGCCAUAUGUUUAACAUGUAUUUUGCCUACUUACUAUAAAUGUCCUAUAAACAUUAGAUUCUAUGUAACAUUCGUUAUAAACAUGAGUUUUCUGGUUAACCCCUUAUUGUUUAUGAUGUCUUUUUGUAAUUUAUAGCAUAGGGAAAGUAUUAGGUCUAAGUGCACUUAAAAUGUUGUAGAUUUUGCUGUCUUUAGUGGUAGCUGACAUUGACAGAUAAGAUAUCGCUAUAUACUUAAGUGUAUUUUUGGGAAAUUAUUAUAAAUAAAUUUUUGAAAGUCUUCUAUGUGUGCCGUUUAUUCCCUUGCUGUUCUAGGGUAAUCUUAUAUACCCUGGUAUUUUUUUCUAUCUUUCUCUUAUAUUUUAUAUAUAAAUGGAUAAUCUACAACACAUUUAUGCAAUGAAAAAUCAUGUGUACAAUGUCUCUUUUUAAAACAGGGCUUGAUAAACCGUGGCACCACUGGUGCAUUAAAAUUAGAUCCUGAUGCCCUGGCUUGGAUCCCUAAGAUAGCGAUUUGUGUAGCUUGCUUACCCUGCCACAUGCUGCUGCCAGCCACACCUACAAUUUAGGUUUGUGCAUCUAGAUUAUUUCUAGGUCAUGCUUGGGGCAAGGAGGUGUGGCGCUGUUUAGUCUCAUUGUGCUCCAAUGUAUUGCUCACAAACCGUAGCAGCAAAUGACAGUGCUGAUUAUCCUGCUGUACAGCUUGAUUUGCACCCCUCUGCAGUUUCUGCUCCCCUGUAUCCUGCUGGCAUAAGUCAGCCAGUGUGCAGCUGCUGCAUGAAGACUUCCAGAAUGAAGUAUACCAAUGCUGCUUCUCUGCAGCAGCCACGAACAGCAUGUGUAGCAGAAUUUGUUUUUGAUGUUCUGGUUCAAGUGUAGGACCCCAUCGCACCCCCCUCUCCCAAGAGCGGUGUCCUUGACAAGACAAAAGUGGAGUUUAGAAACUAAAUGUUAGACUUGGGUUAGAACUUCCCUGGGACCCGAACAUCUAACAUCUGAAAGGUUCUCCAUAUACAGUCUCAUGCAUUUGGUAAUAAUUUAGAUAUUGUGUAUUUUUAUGUUCAAUUAUUUUUUUUUGAUGUUCAAUUUUAUUUUAUGUCUUUAUAAUUUGGCACUGUGUAACCUGUGUUGAUAUUUUUGUUAUUAAACACACAGAAAUUCUCA
Bombina bombina (fire-bellied toad) is the source of this 2133-nucleotide long non-coding RNA. RefSeq lists it as uncharacterized. Lineage: Eukaryota; Metazoa; Chordata; Amphibia; Anura; Bombinatoridae. The record is from RefSeq and is a predicted model, not a curated record. The transcript has 2 exons.